AGAGUUUGAUCCUGGCUCAGAGCGAACGCUGGCGGCAGGCUUAACACAUGCAAGUCGAGCGGGCGUAGCAAUACGUCAGCGGCAGACGGGUGAGUAACGCGUGGGAACGUACCUUUUGGUUCGGAACAACACAGGGAAACUUGUGCUAAUACCAGAUAAGCCCUUACGGGGAAAGAUUUAUCGCCGAAAGAUCGGCCCGCGUCUGAUUAGCUAGUUGGUGAGGUAACGGCUCACCAAGGCGACGAUCAGUAGCUGGUCUGAGAGGAUGAUCAGCCACAUUGGGACUGAGACACGGCCCAAACUCCUACGGGAGGCAGCAGUGGGGAAUAUUGGACAAUGGGCGCAAGCCUGAUCCAGCCAUGCCGCGUGAGUGAUGAAGGCCCUAGGGUUGUAAAGCUCUUUUGUGCGG
This 409-nucleotide ribosomal RNA is filed under the name uncultured bacterium. Its description in RNAcentral is "bacterial SSU rRNA". It matches the Rfam family "Bacterial small subunit ribosomal RNA", at positions 8 to 443 of the family's 1533-position model. The record is from RNAcentral.